UACGAAGGUCCCGAGCGUUGUUCGGAAUCACUGGGCGUAAAGGGAGCGUAGGCGGCGUGGUAAGUCAGAUGUGAAAUCCCGGGGCUCAACCCCGGAACUGCAUCCGAUACUGCCGUGCUUAGAGGAUUGGAGAGGUAGCUGGAAUUCUUGGUGUAGCAGUGAAAUGCGUGGAUAUCAAGAGGAACACUCGUGGCGAAAGCGAGCUACUGGACAACUCCUGACGCUGAGGCUCGAAGGCCAGGGUAGCGAAAGGG
Molecule: ribosomal RNA, 254 nt
Filed under: uncultured bacterium
Lineage: Bacteria
Description: partial 16S ribosomal RNA
Rfam family: Bacterial small subunit ribosomal RNA
Source: RNAcentral